RNAcentral lists this long non-coding RNA (496 nucleotides) under Rattus norvegicus (Norway rat). RNAcentral's name for it is "long non-coding RNA NONRATT013661". Lineage: Eukaryota; Metazoa; Chordata; Mammalia; Rodentia; Muridae. The record is from RNAcentral.
GCAGCCAGGUCCCGGGAAGCCGGGAGAGCUGACUGAUGAACUUGAGGCGGUCCCUGCUCGGCUUCACCUUUUGCACCUGUUACCUGGCUUCUCACCUCACCAACAAGGUGAGCGGACGGGCGGGCGUGACUGCGCGUGGGCUGCGAGCCGUGCGGUCGGCGUCCCAGAAGCUGCCCUGGGCAGGCUGGUCUGGAUGGGAAUGUCGAGGAAACAGCCUUUGAGAGGAAGCACUCUGAGUCCACUUCCCGGAACUUUGACUUGGACUAGGAGGAUCCUCUUCUAGAGGAGGCGGGAGAUGUGGCCUGGAGGCGUGCACAUAGCCCGGGGCUCCAUCUGCAGCACUCACCUAAACUCUCAAACCUUGGGAGGCGGAAGUAGGAGAAUCCGGGUUCAAGGUCAUUUUCAGCUACUUCAAGAGUUUGAGGCCAGCUUGAGAUACUUGAAACUGUGUCUCGAGUAAACGAAUACAAAUAUACCCAAAUAAACAGAAAACAAG